AUUGAACAAGUGUGGGAAUUGAAUCUAACUGACUUUCUGGAUUUAAGAAGCUACAUUUCAGGACCUCUGUAACGUUCCAGCAGGUUCUGUUGAGAAGAGCUCAGUGCAUUUCCAGAAACAGAAUCUCCAGCUCUGUUGGACAGAAGACUGGUCAUACGUCCGUCCGCCCCAUUCCCACCCAAGCCACAAGAGCACCCAGCAGAGACAUUCACAUGCGUCUCUCUGUGAAGUUGCACAUGCGACCUUCAAAGAAACCACAAAGGGGCUACUCAUUUUUAAAGGAAAAACACAUGAACUCCACUGGCAUAAGGAAGACAUUAAGACAGGGUUGAGAAGGAGAAGGUCUCCCUCCACUUAAUAUCACCUUUCACAGAAAUAACUGACUGAGCGAGCACACAGUUGUUUCAAAAAAAUAAAAAACAAAAAAUAAUUUUUAAAA
Long non-coding RNA from Suricata suricatta (meerkat), 439 nucleotides. RefSeq lists it as uncharacterized. The transcript is spliced from 2 exons. Lineage: Eukaryota; Metazoa; Chordata; Mammalia; Carnivora; Herpestidae. The record is from RefSeq and is a predicted model, not a curated record.